Molecule: non-coding RNA, 26 nt
Filed under: Homo sapiens (human)
Lineage: Eukaryota; Metazoa; Chordata; Mammalia; Primates; Hominidae
Source: RNAcentral
UGGAAAUGAGUAGGAGCAGUUUGGUC